CGGAGGGUGCAAGCGUUAUCCGGAUUCACUGGGUUUAAAGGUGCGUAGGAGGGCAGGUAAGUCAGUGGUGAAAUCUCCAAGCUUAACUUGGAAACUGCCGUUGAUACUAUCUGUCUUGAAUACCGUGGAGGUGAGCGGAAUAUGUCAUGUAGCGGUGAAAUGCUUAGAUAUGACAUAGAACACCAAUUGCGAAGGCAGCUCGCUACACGAAUAUUGACUCUGAGGCACGAAAGCGUGGGGAUCAAACAGGAUUAGAUACCCUGGUAGUCCACGCCCUAAACGAUGGAUACUCGACAUACGCGAUACACAGUGUGUGUCUGAGCGAAAGCAUUAAGUAUCCCACCUGGGAAGUACGACCGCAAGGUUG
RNAcentral lists this ribosomal RNA (367 nucleotides) under uncultured organism. Its description in RNAcentral is "bacterial SSU rRNA". It matches the Rfam family "Bacterial small subunit ribosomal RNA", at positions 526 to 896 of the family's 1533-position model. The record is from RNAcentral.